GGCGUCGUCGUCUAGGGGUUAGGACGCAGCACUUUGAAUGCUGUAACGCGGGUUCAAAUCCCGUCGAUGCCU
Molecule: transfer RNA, 72 nt
Filed under: Balneola sp.
Lineage: Bacteria; Pseudomonadati; Balneolota; Balneolia; Balneolales; Balneolaceae
Description: tRNA-Gln
Rfam family: tRNA
About the family: Transfer RNA (tRNA) molecules are approximately 80 nucleotides in length. Their secondary structure includes four short double-helical elements and three loops (D, anti-codon, and T loops). Further hydrogen bonds mediate the characteristic L-shaped molecular structure. tRNAs have two regions of fundamental functional importance: the anti-codon, which is responsible for specific mRNA codon recognition, and the 3' end, to which the tRNAs corresponding amino acid is attached (by aminoacyl-tRNA synthetases). tRNAs cope with the degeneracy of the genetic code in two manners: having more than one tRNA (with a specific anti-codon) for a particular amino acid; and 'wobble' base-pairing, i.e. permitting non-standard base-pairing at the 3rd anti-codon position.
Source: RNAcentral